CCCUUAGAUGUUCUGGGCCGCACGCGUGCUACACUGAGUGGAUCAGCGGGUCAGGUUGCGCGAAAGUGUUUCCUAAUCUUGAAAUCCGCUCGUGAUGGGGAUUGACGGUUGCAAUUUUCCGUCAUGAACGAGGAAUACCUUGUAAGCGCGGGUCAUCAUCCCGCGCUGAAUACGUCCCUGCCCUUUGUACACACCGCCCGUCGCUCCUACCGAUUGAGUGGUCCGGUGAGGCUUUGGGAUCUGAGCAAAGAGAGCGUUUCGCUCGUUUUGCCCGGAAAACUCAGUCGAACCUUAUCAUUUAGAGGAAGGAGAAGUCGUAAC
RNAcentral lists this ribosomal RNA (321 nucleotides) under uncultured eukaryote. Its description in RNAcentral is "partial 18S ribosomal RNA". It matches the Rfam family "Eukaryotic small subunit ribosomal RNA", at positions 1470 to 1795 of the family's 1831-position model. The record is from RNAcentral.